GUAUGUGAAAGUGAAUAGAAUGUUGACUUUGGAAUGGCUAGAAGCAUUAAAACAAGACUGAAAACACAC
Molecule: non-coding RNA, 69 nt
Organism: Equus caballus (horse)
Lineage: Eukaryota; Metazoa; Chordata; Mammalia; Perissodactyla; Equidae
Source: Rfam